GAUUAUAGAUGAUCGGCUAAAACCGUCUCGUCCUGAGACAACGCCGAUCUGACCCACAUCGUGUGGG
Molecule: small RNA, 67 nt
Filed under: Alteribacillus iranensis
Lineage: Bacteria; Bacillati; Bacillota; Bacilli; Caryophanales; Bacillaceae
Description: Bacillus sp. X5B(2010) Bacillaceae-1 RNA
Rfam family: Bacillaceae-1 RNA
Source: Rfam by way of RNAcentral